UGUCUUUCUUAGAGCCGUAAACACAGAAGUCAAGGUCACAGAACGGUGGAGCAGAGACUGGAGUGAGGCCGUCGCACGUCCAGGGAUGCCCAGAGCCACCAGAGCCGUGAGGUAGAAGCCCUCCCAGGAUCAGCAGGAGGAAAUGUGGCCCUGCUCACGCCAUCUGUGCUCCAACCACGAGCGUGAGACAGCAAGUUCCUGUGGCCCAAAGCUGCCCCGUAGGGGGGCUUAGGCCCAGCAACCCUGGAGUCCUGCCUGUUUACGCCGUGCCUGUAACAGAACACCCGAGGCUGGGUACAUUGCUAGAAAACAAAAAAAGAGUUUUGACACAACUCCGGAAUCAGAGAAGUCAAAGGCUUUGUAGCAGACUUAAUCGUCUGGCGUAGACCACCGUCCGCUUCCCAUGGCUCAGGGCUGUGUUCUCUAGGGCAUGGGGAACAUGGCAGGUGCAGAGACGGUGGAAGUGCACGGAGCACUGAGCGAAGCCCUGUGCACACUCACCUGGAAAGGAGCCCUCGUGGCCUGAAGCCCAGUGAAGUUUCAACACCUCUAUUUUGGAGGGGCUUAUUCAGACCACGGCAUCCGUGAUCCCUCCAUGUUAGACCCCCGAGAAGCAGACAGGCUUCCCCGAAUUGCAGGGUAAUAAAAGGUGUCACUUCAAGCUACAGCCGUGGCAGUUUUCUUCUGCAGCAGUAGGCUGGUGAGGCUCCCAGAGAGUAACUUUAGGCUGAGAAGCAGUGGUUGGAAGUUUCCAGAAGGUUUUUCCGAGCAGCCGGCAAGAUGGCAGAAGGAGAAGCGGAAGAAGUGGGCCUCCCCCAGGUUCACCUACCGUGCAGGGAUGCAGCUGUGCAGGGACCCCCCAGAGGCAGUGCCUGAACAGGGGCCUGCGGUGGCGUCAAGAAGGAGCCUCCACCCAGGAGAAGCCCAAGGUGGUGAAGACCCACCCGGGCAACAGGACCAUCCUGCCUGACGGUGGGCAAAUACAAUGACAAGACCUUCAACCAGUGGAUGGACGAACUCAGCCUUGAAGGAGUCCUGCGGAGCCUUUGCUGACAGUAGCAGGUCUCAGCCCUCUGGGUCCAGUCUACAGAGUCCCGCAGCAGCAGCAGCAGCAGCAGCAGCAGCAGCAGCAGCAGCAGCAGCAGCAGCAGGAGCCAUUCGGGGGUUAGACCGUUGCAUAUAGUUCCUCACACUAAGCUGGGUGGCCCUCAACCCUCCAGAAUGGUUCUUCACACCUGAGUGUGAGGCUGAGGCCCCGGUUUGG
Molecule: long non-coding RNA, 1264 nt
Filed under: Meriones unguiculatus (Mongolian gerbil)
Lineage: Eukaryota; Metazoa; Chordata; Mammalia; Rodentia; Muridae
Description: lncRNA (ENSMUGG00000006772.1)
Source: RNAcentral